This 518-nucleotide ribosomal RNA is filed under the name Bacillus subtilis. Its description in RNAcentral is "bacterial SSU rRNA". It matches the Rfam family "Bacterial small subunit ribosomal RNA", at positions 33 to 538 of the family's 1533-position model. Lineage: Bacteria; Bacillati; Bacillota; Bacilli; Caryophanales; Bacillaceae. The record is from RNAcentral.
GACGCUGGCGGCAGGCCUAACACAUGCAAGUCGAGCGGCAGCGGGAAAGUAGCUUGCUACUUUUGCCGGCGAGCGGCGGACGGGUGAGUAAUGCCUGGGGAUCUGCCCAGUCGAGGGGGAUAACAGUUGGAAACGACUGCUAAUACCGCAUACGCCCUACGGGGGAAAGGAGGGGACCUUCGGGCCUUUCGCGAUUGGAUGAACCCAGGUGGGAUUAGCUAGUUGGUGGGGUAAUGGCUCACCAAGGCGACGAUCCCUAGCUGGUCUGAGAGGAUGAUCAGCCACACUGGAACUGAGACACGGUCCAGACUCCUACGGGAGGCAGCAGUGGGGAAUAUUGCACAAUGGGGGAAACCCUGAUGCAGCCAUGCCGCGUGUGUGAAGAAGGCCUUCGGGUUGUAAAGCACUUUCAGCGAGGAGGAAAGGUUGGCGCCUAAUACGUGUCAACUGUGACGUUACUCGCAGAAGAAGCACCGGCUAACUCCGUGCCAGCCGCCGCGGUAAUACGUCGUGACUGG